UACGUAGGGUGCGAGCGUUAAUCGGAAUUACUGGGCGUAAAGCGUGCGCAGGCGGUUUGUUAAGUCAGGGGUGAAAUCCUGGAGCUCAACUCCAGAACUGCCUUUGAUACUGGCGAUCUCGAGUCCGGGAGAGGUGAGUGGAACUGCGAGUGUAGAGGUGAAAUUCGUAGAUAUUCGCAAGAACACCAGUGGCGAAGGCGGCUCACUGGCCCGGUACUGACGCUGAGGUGCGAAAGCGUGGGGAGCAAACAGG
Molecule: ribosomal RNA, 253 nt
Filed under: uncultured bacterium
Lineage: Bacteria
Description: partial 16S ribosomal RNA
Rfam family: Bacterial small subunit ribosomal RNA
Source: RNAcentral